This 279-nucleotide long non-coding RNA is filed under the name Phoenix dactylifera (date palm). RNAcentral's name for it is "long non-coding RNA (PDAC_LNC002344)". Lineage: Eukaryota; Viridiplantae; Streptophyta; Magnoliopsida; Arecales; Arecaceae. The record is from RNAcentral.
AUUAUUCAUGUCCCAAUCAUCCUAAUUAGCUGCACAACUUACAUUACCUAGAGGCCCCCCAAUUUCUUCAAAAAUUAUGUCAAGAAGAUCAUUGCUUCUAUCAAUGUCACCAUAGCAAUCUCUUUCAAAAUUCAUUUGUAUCCAAUAUAAUCCUCCUCCCACAAACCUUUUGCGAAGUUUACAUUCCCUCCUACAUCCCUUCCCUCACAAUCCUAUCGUCCCCAACCAUGACUCCUAACCCUUAUGUUCGAUUCGCAUAUACUCAUUUUAAUCCAAUCC